Molecule: ribosomal RNA, 481 nt
Filed under: uncultured bacterium
Lineage: Bacteria
Description: partial 16S ribosomal RNA
Rfam family: Bacterial small subunit ribosomal RNA
Source: RNAcentral
AUUGAACGCUGGCGGCAUGCCUUACACAUGCAAGUCGAACGGUAACAGGUCUUCGGAUGCUGACGAGUGGCGAACGGGUGAGUAAUACAUCGGAACGUGCCCGAUCGUGGGGGAUAACGGAGCGAAAGCUUUGCUAAUACCGCAUACGAUCUACGGAUGAAAGCAGGGGACCGCAAGGCCUUGCGCGGACGGAGCGGCCGAUGGCAGAUUAGGUAGUUGGUGGGAUAAAAGCUUACCAAGCCGACGAUCUGUAGCUGGUCUGAGAGGACGACCAGCCACACUGGGACUGAGACACGGCCCAGACUCCUACGGGAGGCAGCAGUGGGGAAUUUUGGACAAUGGGCGAAAGCCUGAUCCAGCCAUGCCGCGUGCAGGAUGAAGGCCUUCGGGUUGUAAACUGCUUUUGUACGGAACGAAAAGACUCUUUCUAAUAAAGAGGGUCCAUGACGGUACCGUAAGAAUAAACACCGGCUAACUACGU